Molecule: ribosomal RNA, 425 nt
Filed under: uncultured bacterium
Lineage: Bacteria
Description: partial 16S ribosomal RNA
Rfam family: Bacterial small subunit ribosomal RNA
Source: RNAcentral
GUGGGGAAUUUUGGACAAUGGGGGCAACCCUGAUCCAGCAAUGCCGCGUGCAGGAAGAAGGCCUUAGGGUUGUAAAGCUCUUUCAGCUGGGAAGAUAAUGACGGUACCAGCAGAAGAAGCCCCGGCUAACUCCGUGCCAGCAGCCGCGGUAAUACGGAGGGGGCUAGCGUUGUUCGGAAUUACUGGGCGUAAAGCGCACGUAGGCGGAUUAAUAAGUCAGAGGUGAAAUCCCAGUGCUCAACCAUGGAACUGCCUUUGGUACUGUUAGUCUUGAGGUCGAGAGAGGUGAGUGGAAUUCCGAGUGUAGGGGUGAAAUUCGUAGAUAUUCGGAGGAACACCAGUGGCGAAGGCGGCUCACUGGCUCGAUACUGACGCUGAGGUGCGAAAGCGUGGGGAGCAAACAGGAUUAGAAACCCCGGUAGUCC